GUAAUUGGCAUCGCUAAGUUUUCCGCUGAUUUUCUACUUAGAGUUGUUAAGAAUUUUAUAGGUUGGCGAAUUUCGUAAAGUUGGUUGGAGUCUUGAAGAGUUGAUCGCAGAAGUUUCGAAGAAAAGAUUCAAAUUGAAAGAAUAAGACUCAUUCGGAAAGCUCGACACCCAAGGUAUAAAGAAAAGAUUAUUUGUGGUGAAUAUACCUAAUUAGACUAAGUUCAGAAGGUUUAGAUUACUUCAAAAACUCUUUAC
RNAcentral lists this long non-coding RNA (255 nucleotides) under Ananas comosus (pineapple). RNAcentral describes it as "long non-coding RNA (ACOM_LNC034048)". Lineage: Eukaryota; Viridiplantae; Streptophyta; Magnoliopsida; Poales; Bromeliaceae. The record is from RNAcentral.